AUCACUUCUCUGCCUUUUGGCUAAGAUCAUGUGUAGUAUCUGUUCUAAUAUCAGAUACGUUCCUGAUUUAGGGGGGGAAUAUUAAUCUGAUUUUUGUAGGAAGGAGUGGGAUUAGGAGCUUGCUCCACCAACUUCGCGUAGCGUCCUGGUAUUGCAAUGUUUCUGGGAAUGGUGCACCCGUC
Chiloscyllium plagiosum (whitespotted bambooshark) is the source of this 182-nucleotide small nuclear RNA. RefSeq annotates it as U2 spliceosomal RNA. The record is from RefSeq and is a predicted model, not a curated record. Lineage: Eukaryota; Metazoa; Chordata; Chondrichthyes; Orectolobiformes; Hemiscylliidae.